RNAcentral lists this ribosomal RNA (497 nucleotides) under uncultured bacterium. RNAcentral's name for it is "partial 16S ribosomal RNA". It matches the Rfam family "Bacterial small subunit ribosomal RNA", at positions 28 to 507 of the family's 1533-position model. The record is from RNAcentral.
GAUGAACGCUGGCGGCGUGCCUAAUACAUGCAAGUCGAGCGAACAGAUGAGGAGCUUGCUCCUCUGACGUUAGCGGCGGACGGGAGAGUAACACGUGGAUAACCUACCUAUAAGACUGGGAUAACUUCGGGAAACCGGAGCUUAUACCGGAGAAGAUAUUGAACCGCAUGGUUCAUUAGUGAGAGACGGUGUUGCUGUCACUUAUAGAUGGAUCCGCGCCGCAUUAGCUAGUUGUUAAGUUAACGGGCUACCAAGGCAACGAUGCGUAGACGACCGCAGAGACGGGUAGCCCACCCUGGAGCGGGGCCACGGACAAGACUCCUGCGAGAGGCAGCAGUAGGGUAUCGUCCGCAGUGGGCGAAAACCUGACGGAGCAACGCCACGUGAGAGAUGAAGGUCUUCGGAGCGUAAAACUCUGUUAUUAGGGAAGAACAAAUGUGUAAGUAAAUAUGCACGUCUUGACGGUAACUAAUCAGGAAGCAACGGCUAACUACGUG